GAUGAACGCUGGCGGCGUGCUUAACACAUGCAAGUCGAACGAUGAAGCCCAGCUUGCUGGGUGGAUUAGUGGCGAACGGGUGAGUAACACGUGAGUACCCUGCCCUUAACUCUGGGAUAAGCCUGGGAAACUGGGUCUAAUACCUGAUAGGAGCGUCCACCGCAUGGUGGGUGUUGGAAAGAUUUAUCGGUUUUGGAUGGACUCGCGGCCUAUCAGCUUGUUGGUGAGGUAAUGGCUCACCAAGGCGACGACGGGUAGCCGGCCUGAGAGGGUGACCGGCCACACUGGGACUGAGACACGGCCCAGACUCCUACGGGAGGCAGCAGUGGGGAAUAUUGCACAAUGGGCGCAAGCCUGAUGCAGCGACGCCGCGUGAGGGAUGACGGCCUUCGGGUUGUAAACCUCUUUCAGUAGGGAAGAAGCGAAAGUGACGGUACCUGCAGAAGAAGCACCGGCUAACUACGUG
This 466-nucleotide ribosomal RNA is filed under the name uncultured bacterium. RNAcentral's name for it is "partial 16S ribosomal RNA". It matches the Rfam family "Bacterial small subunit ribosomal RNA", at positions 28 to 507 of the family's 1533-position model. The record is from RNAcentral.